GACGAACGCUGGCGGCGUGCUUAACACAUGCAAGUCGAACGGAAAGGCCCUGCUUUUGUGGGGUGCUCGAGUGGCGAACGGGUGAGUAACACGUGAGUAACCUGCCCUUGACUUUGGGAUAACUUCAGGAAACUGGGGCUAAUACCGGAUAGGAGCUCCUGCUGCAUGGUGGGGGUUGGAAAGUUUCGGCGGUUGGGGAUGGACUCGCGGCUUAUCAGCUUGUUGGUGGGGUAGUGGCUUACCAAGGCUUUGACGGGUAGCCGGCCUGAGAGGGUGACCGGCCACAUUGGGACUGAGAUACGGCCCAGUCUCCUACGGGAGGCAGCAGUGGGGAAUAUUGCACAAUGGGCGGAAGCCUGAUGCAGCAACGCCGCGUGCGGGAUGACGGCCUUCGGGAUGUAAACCGCUUUCGCCUGUGACGAAGCGUGAGUGACGGUAAUGGGUAAAGAAGCACCGGCUAACUACGUG
This 468-nucleotide ribosomal RNA is filed under the name uncultured bacterium. Its description in RNAcentral is "partial 16S ribosomal RNA". It matches the Rfam family "Bacterial small subunit ribosomal RNA", at positions 28 to 507 of the family's 1533-position model. The record is from RNAcentral.